RNAcentral lists this long non-coding RNA (1194 nucleotides) under Panax ginseng (ginseng). RNAcentral's name for it is "long non-coding RNA (PGIN_LNC010146)". Lineage: Eukaryota; Viridiplantae; Streptophyta; Magnoliopsida; Apiales; Araliaceae. The record is from RNAcentral.
AGGCUUAAAUAUAAAUUACUAUCCUAAACUACAUGCCAUAUUCCACUUUGGUGAUUCACCUUUCAAUUUUGUUAAUUAGAUAAUUGAACUAUUAAUUUUUUUUAGUUUUGUUCCAUUAGACCUGCCACGUCAUAAAUUGAUGACGUGGUAUCGCUGACUAAGCUAAUCAGUGCCUAUGUAUAAUUAAAAAUUAUUAUUUGAAAUGAAUUUUUACAUUUGUUGAAUGUCUAAGGGUAAAAAGGUCAAACUAUUACAACAACUUUAUAACACUUUUAACUCUUAUUUCUCAUCAAAGCAAAGAACAAUAAAAAAUGCAGAUCUAGAUUAACCAAUUAUGAAAUGCUAACCCAAACUGAAAAGCAAUUAAAUUGUUAAAAUCAAACAUGGGAGAAAAUUCUUUAAAAGUAAUUUGCCUAAUCUACGGUAUCUACCACAGCACCACCACCGCCACCUUCCUCUGCCAUAACUUUUCUUCCUCAUCCUUCUUUCUCUUCUCCAUAGCACAAACCCAUAACCAUUAUCACUAUCAUUACACCAAUAAAAAGAAAAAAAUCUCACCAAAAUCUAUAUCCAGUAAACAAAUACAUAAAAAAAAAAAAAUCAUCAACGCCGGUAAAUAUACGAUCUAUGGAAAUUCAUCGCCGCCGGCAUCAGAAACUUAGAUCUGCACUGUCUAAACGAAGAUCGUUGCCGGCACUUGCCGCCAUCACUUUAUAGAUCUAGAUAAGAUUAAGUCAAAGGAAAGCCUAUUUAGAGGGAAAACAAGAGAUUUUUCGAUCGAAGUCUGUGAGUUUCAGAAUGGGUGAUAGAGGAGGAGAAAUUUUUGGUGCCAGAUCUAAGAGUUUCAAACGGAGUCUCAAGUACGGAUACAAAGAGAUUUUUCGAUCGACGAUCUUGAGUUUUAGAAAGGUUUCACAAAUGUUUUCAGAAUGAUUUUAAAACAUUUGAUAGUGUACUGGUGGUGAUGAUCUUGUUUACUUCAGCUACGUGGUUGACUGGUGGUGGGAUUCUUUGGGAGGAUGAUAGUGUACUGCUAUGAAGUUUAUCUAAUAAUAUAUAUUGUCUUUAUUAGUUAAUUUGUAAGUUGAUUCUUAGGGGGGUGUUUUCAAUUAAAAUUUUUAAAGACUUUUAAAGAUUUUAAAAGUUUGGUUGUAUUCAAUCAAGACAUUUAAAGAGUUUAUAAAAGUUUACCGG